This 373-nucleotide unclassified non-coding RNA is filed under the name uncultured Coniochaetales. Its description in RNAcentral is "sequence contains ITS2". The stretch from base 1 to 153 matches the Rfam family "5.8S ribosomal RNA". The record is from RNAcentral. Lineage: Eukaryota; Fungi; Ascomycota; Sordariomycetes; Coniochaetales.
AACUUUCAACAACGGAUCUCUUGGUUCUGGCAUCGAUGAGAACGCAGCGAAAUGCGAUAAGUAAUGUGAAUUGCAGAAUUCAGUGAAUCAUCGAAUCUUUGAACGCACAUUGCGCCCGCUAGUACUCUGGCGGGCAUGCCUGUUCGAGCGUCAUUUCAACCCUCAAGCCCUGCUUGGUGUUGGGGCCCUACGGCUGCCGUAGGCCCUGAAAGGAAGUGGCGGGCUCGCUACAACUCCGAGCGUAGUAAUUCAUUAUCUCGCUAUGGACGUUGCGGCGGUGCUCCUGCCGUUAAAGACCCCAUCUUUAACCAAGGUUGACCUCGGAUCAGGUAGGAAUACCCGCUGAACUUAAGCAUAUCAAUAAGCGGAGGCU